Molecule: non-coding RNA, 26 nt
Filed under: Rattus norvegicus (Norway rat)
Lineage: Eukaryota; Metazoa; Chordata; Mammalia; Rodentia; Muridae
Source: RNAcentral
UAAGAGGUGUGUUUAGUAGGUGAGUC